CUGACCCUACGGGGGGCAGCAGUCGGGAAUAUUGCGCAAUGGAGGAAACUCUGACGCAGUGACGCCGCGUAUAGGAAGAAGGUUUUCGGAUUGUAAACUAUUGUCGUUAGGGAAGAUAAAAGACAGUACCUAAGGAGGAAGCUCCGGCUAACUACGUGCCAGCAGCCGCGGUAAUACGUAGGGAGCAAGCGCUAUCCGGAUUUAUUGGGUGUAAAGGGCGUGUAGGCGGGAAUGCAAGUCAGAUGUGAAAACUAUGGGCUCAACCCAUAGCCUGCAUUUGAAACUGUAUUUCUUGAGUGCUGGCG
Molecule: ribosomal RNA, 305 nt
Filed under: uncultured bacterium
Lineage: Bacteria
Description: bacterial SSU rRNA
Rfam family: Bacterial small subunit ribosomal RNA
Source: RNAcentral